Molecule: ribosomal RNA, 479 nt
Filed under: uncultured bacterium
Lineage: Bacteria
Description: partial 16S ribosomal RNA
Rfam family: Bacterial small subunit ribosomal RNA
Source: RNAcentral
GAUGAACGCUGGCGGCGUGCUUAACACAUGCAAGUCGAACGAAGCACCUUGAUUUGAUUCUUCGGAUGAAGAUCUUGGUGACUGAGUGGCGGACGGGUGAGUAACGCGUGGGUAACCUGCCUCAUACAGGGGGAUAACAGUUAGAAAUGACUGCUAAUACCGCAUAAGACCACAGCACCGCAUGGUGCAGGGGUAAAAACUCCGGUGGUAUGAGAUGGACCCGCGUCUGAUUAGGUAGUUGGUGGGGUAACGGCCUACCAAGCCGACGAUCAGUAGCCGAACUGAGAGGGUGACCGGCCACAUUGGGACUGAGACACGGCCCAAACUCCUACGGGAGGCAGCAGUGGGGAAUAUUGCACAAUGGGGGAAACCCUGAUGCAGCGACGCCGCGUGAGCGAUGAAGUAUUUCGGUAUGUAAAGCUCUAUCAGCAGGGAAGAAAAUGACGGUACCUGACUAAGAAGCACCGGCUAAAUACGUG